RNAcentral lists this long non-coding RNA (766 nucleotides) under Panax ginseng (ginseng). RNAcentral describes it as "long non-coding RNA (PGIN_LNC012322)". The record is from RNAcentral. Lineage: Eukaryota; Viridiplantae; Streptophyta; Magnoliopsida; Apiales; Araliaceae.
CUACUUUAACCUGUGGCAGCCCCGAAUCCGGGUCCCGAAUCGCCGCGGAUCCGGUUCGCUAUUUCUACAACUAUUUGCGGAACAUAUAAACAUAAAUUGUUUAUACAUUAUAUUACACACUAUUCCCCAAGGUCGAGUAACCUUUACUUAAACACAAAUCAUAAGCUAUCUAACACAUAACAAUACUAUUCUUCAACCAUACUUUUACAAAUUAGCUGUACAUUCUAUCCCAAGCUGAACUUGGCAUUUUCCUUUUCCUGUAACUGGCCGUAUUCGCCUUAUCUGCAAUGUUUUAUCAUAAUAUAGCAAGGGUGAGCAUGAAAGUUGCCCAACAAGUUUAAAAACAAUGCAAAGAUAUAUCAUGAUGGAAAGAGAUUGAAUAAUAAGCUGACUAUCCUUCACAAUGUAUUUGUGAAUUAGCAUGAACAAAGUUUUGACUGAACAAGUAUUUAACAGGAAUAACAAUAUAUCUAGACCAACUGGUAAUGAAGGUGAUCAGCCUUUCAUAGCCGACUUAUACAUACAAGAUGUACAGAGUACAAUUCAUAAGCAUAUCUGUCUGAAACCACUCUUAAAAGAGUUUAAGUAAAAAGAACUUGAAAAACUUGCCUGAACCGUUGAUUACCGUAACGCAAUAUAAUACGCUUCUCCUGAAGACCUAAUAUUAAUAAUAUAGAUCUCCAAUAUUAGAAUAAUAUCAUCAUUGUUAUAAAAUAACUUAAACAUAUUUCCACAUACUCCUAUCAGUCUAUACAGCAUAUAAAAC